This 495-nucleotide ribosomal RNA is filed under the name Lodderomyces parapsilosis. RNAcentral describes it as "eukaryotic LSU rRNA". The stretch from base 172 to 325 matches the Rfam family "5.8S ribosomal RNA". The record is from RNAcentral. Lineage: Eukaryota; Fungi; Ascomycota; Pichiomycetes; Serinales; Debaryomycetaceae.
CAACCUGCGGAAGGAUCAUUACAGAAUGAAAAGUGCUUAACUGCAUUUUUUCUUACACAUGUGUUUUUCUUUUUUUGAAAACUUUGCUUUGGUAGGCCUUCUAUAUGGGGCCUGCCAGAGAUUAAACUCAACCAAAUUUUAUUUAAUGUCAACCGAUUAUUUAAUAGUCAAAACUUUCAACAACGGAUCUCUUGGUUCUCGCAUCGAUGAAGAACGCAGCGAAAUGCGAUAAGUAAUAUGAAUUGCAGAUAUUCGUGAAUCAUCGAAUCUUUGAACGCACAUUGCGCCCUUUGGUAUUCCAAAGGGCAUGCCUGUUUGAGCGUCAUUUCUCCCUCAAACCCUCGGGUUUGGUGUUGAGCGAUACGCUGGGUUUGCUUGAAAGAAAGGCGGAGUAUAAACUAAUGGAUAGGUUUUUUCCACUCAUUGGUACAAACUCCAAAACUUCUUCCAAAUUCGACCUCAAAUCAGGUAGGACUACCCGCUGAACUUAAGCAU